GAUAAUCUGACCAACACGUGUUGUGGAACCCGGCAUACUGGAAGUGCUCAUUACCUCUAGAUCAACAAUGGUUGUUGUGUAGAAGCUUCUUGUUCUUUAAUGCAACACAAAGGAGGGAUUCCAAAAUGGCCUCGGUAUUGGUCACUGUGAGGCACGACGUAUCUCAGGCGAGGGAAGAGUCCCCUCUGACGCAGGCGGGCGGAUCCUUAUCGCCCGUAGUCACACCCGGUGGCAGAUCGCGCUGAGGCUGACGGUUGCACGUCGAGUGAACUCGGCAGUGCGUCUUCCACUGAAGCCGAGCGUCACUCGGAGGCUUCCCAGCCGACAUGAGCAGAGCAUCACGGCUCACCUGAGAGCUCGUCUGGAGGAGUCAAAAGGAGAAGGAGAUCCUGUGUGAGUGCAGCUCACACAGAUGAGAACACUCAAUGCUCAAGCU
Molecule: long non-coding RNA, 436 nt
Organism: Gasterosteus aculeatus aculeatus (three-spined stickleback)
Lineage: Eukaryota; Metazoa; Chordata; Actinopteri; Perciformes; Gasterosteidae
Source: Ensembl